RNAcentral lists this long non-coding RNA (860 nucleotides) under Homo sapiens (human). RNAcentral's name for it is "HSALNT0015629". Lineage: Eukaryota; Metazoa; Chordata; Mammalia; Primates; Hominidae. The record is from RNAcentral.
AAACAAAUGUCCACACAGUUAGGAAGCCCAAGGGCCCUCUGCCCUUUCCUCUCUGCCUUCCUGGAGCAUGAACCCACACAGGGCACACAGCAGCAAGGCAUCCCCGGGCAGUGCCGUGCCCACUCACCAGCUUCUUCCUGCGGUCAUCGAUCUGGCAGAGGUUCUCCUCAUCUAUCCCCAAACAUGGGCUUCCUUGAGGCACAGUCAUUCAACCAACCAGCCAGCAUUCAUUGAGCACCAUCUAUGUCCUGGGCACUGCUAGGGGAUGGUGAUAACAGGGAGAAGACUCUGUCCCUGCCUUCCAAUUGUGUAGAGGAAGACAUCCCCCUACAUGAUGGGUGAGACAUAGCAGAAGUGAGUAGGGGAUGAGGUGGGGGCUCAGAGGAGGGCAUGGUCAGCCUGUCUGGGAGGGAGUUGCAUGUGUGCAUCUGAGGUAGGGACAGGCAUGCAUCUUACAGGAUGAAUAUCGAGCAGAGUUACAGAGAGGGGGAAACUCCUUGAGGUUUCAGGAAUCACCUAAUCCACUGUGACUCACAAAUUCCUGCCUCUUGGCUUUGCCUGCAGCAUAUCUCCUGGAAGUGUGCUGGGGCAAAACUCAUCCCAGACCACCAUCUCCAUCCUCCCCCAAUACACCCUGGCUCUCCCUGGCUACCCUUGAGCACGGUGCACGUGUGCAUGGGUGCAUGCCUGCAUAUAUAGCUAUCCCCCAUGUAUUUCCCAAAGCCCUACAUAAUGCUUCAGUUUGCUAAGGAAAAAAUGUUAAUUACUGCAAAUGUGUUUAAAACUGUAAAAGUACAUUAAACAAACUCUGUAAAGUGUGAAGGUUCAGGAAAGGGCAUGUGUUGCACGCAGUUCUGACC